UAAUAAACACGGCAAACUUAUUGAAAAAUAAGGACGCAAAGCUAUGGGUCUACGUACUUUAAGUAUAUGGCUGCCAGGUUGCAAAA
Molecule: non-coding RNA, 86 nt
Filed under: Acetonema longum
Lineage: Bacteria; Bacillati; Bacillota; Negativicutes; Acetonemataceae
Also listed under: 1 other name
Description: c-di-GMP sequence
Rfam family: c-di-GMP-I riboswitch aptamer
About the family: GEMM was predicted in a large-scale screen for bacterial structured RNA regulatory elements. Genes associated with GEMM are involved in a diverse array of functions, including chemotaxis regulation, signal transduction, secretion and chitin.
Source: RNAcentral